RNAcentral lists this ribosomal RNA (253 nucleotides) under uncultured bacterium. Its description in RNAcentral is "partial 16S ribosomal RNA". It matches the Rfam family "Bacterial small subunit ribosomal RNA", at positions 524 to 776 of the family's 1533-position model. The record is from RNAcentral.
UACGAAGGGUGCUAGCGUUGCUCGGAAUCACUGGGCGUAAAGCGCACGUAGGCGGCUUGUUAAGUCAGGGGUGAAAUCCUGGAGCUCAACUCCAGAACUGCCUUUGAUACUGAAGAUCUUGAGUUCGGGAGAGGUGAGUGGAACUGCGAGUGUAGAGGUGAAAUUCGUAGAUAUUCGCAAGAACACCAGUGGCGAAGGCGGCUCACUGGCCCGAUACUGACGCUGAGGCACGAAAGCGUGGGGAGCAAACAGG